AGAGUUUGAUCAUGGCUCAGGAUGAACGCUAGCGGCAGGCCUAAUACAUGCAAGUCGAACGAGGUUUAGUAGCAAUACUAAGCUUAGUGGCGCACGGGUGCGUAACGCGUAUGCAACCUACCUUUUACUGGGGUAUAGCCCGGGGAAACCCGGAUUAACACCGCAUAAUAUAUUUGGAUGGCAUCAUUUGAAUAUUAAAUCUACGGAGGUAAAAGAUGGGCAUGCGUCUGAUUAGCUAGUUGGUGAGGUAAUGGCUCACCAAGGCGACGAUCAGUCGGGGACCUGAGAGGGUGAUCCCCCACACUGGCACUGAGAUACGGGCCAGACUCCUACGGGAGGCAGCAGUAGGGAAUAUUGGGCAAUGGUGGAGACACUGACCCAGCCAUGCCGCGUGAAGGAAGAAGGCUUUCUGAGUUGUAAACUUCUUUUAUCUGGGAAUAAACGACCCUUGCGAGGGGCAUUGAAUGUACCAGAUGAAUAAGCACCGGCUAACUCCGUGCCAGCAGCCGCGGUAAUACGGAGGGUGCAAGCGUUGUCCGGAUUUAUUGGGUUUAAAGGGUGCGUAGGCGGUUUAAUAAGUCAGUGUUUAAAGUCAACAGCUUAACUGUUGGAAUGGCAUUGAUACUGUUAAACUUGAGUAAAGUUGAGGUAGGCGGAAUUGAAGGUGUAGCGGUGAAAUGCAUAGAUAUCUUCAAGAACACCAAUUGCGAAGGCAGCUUACUAAGCUUUAACUGACGCUGAGGCACGAAAGCGUGGGGAUCAAACAGGAUUAGAUACCCUAGUAGUCC
RNAcentral lists this ribosomal RNA (788 nucleotides) under uncultured bacterium. RNAcentral's name for it is "bacterial SSU rRNA". It matches the Rfam family "Bacterial small subunit ribosomal RNA", at positions 8 to 796 of the family's 1533-position model. The record is from RNAcentral.